This 890-nucleotide long non-coding RNA is filed under the name Anser cygnoides (Swan goose). RNAcentral's name for it is "lncRNA (ENSACDG00005016156.1)". The record is from RNAcentral. Lineage: Eukaryota; Metazoa; Chordata; Aves; Anseriformes; Anatidae.
AAAUAGCUAAUUACAAAUGAGCUGCUGGGUUGUUCACAGCGUGCCUGAGCAGUUCCUGCGGGGACAGCAGUGCUGUGCUCCAUGCAGGUCUGUGCAGGGGGUGUGAGUGACCGUGUCUGGUGCAACAGAAGGUGCAGUGACACCUGAGAGAAAAAUAAAAAGGGUGUUUUAGGAGCCAGGAGGGAGAGCAGAUGGUGCUGGGAAUGACACAGGUGCCCCGAGUCACAAAGCCGUGUGCUCUGAUGUGGGAUGAAUUGCCACCAGCUGGGGGAAGCUGGAGGUGGGCUUUAGCACUUGUUCCUGAGCACCGGGGGGGUGAGAUGUGUCCCAGUGAGGUGCUGGGGAGGGCUCAGCUCCUUCUGUUGGCUCCUUGGGAUUGCUGGCAUGAGAGUGGGUGCGUGUUUGGCUGUGGGCAGAGACUGUGCUGCAGCGUACAAAAGCAGCUGUGUGGUCCGACCCAGUGCUGGGGGAAAGCAUCCCGGGGAAGCACCUAUAAACUGGAGAUGACGCACUUGAUCCAGCGUGUUUGCUGCGGUGGCGCGUCACCUAGGAGCAUCGAGUGGAAGGAUGUUGUUCCGUGCUGCAGAGCGGGCGCAGCUCAGCUCAGCAGACCUCAGCUGCCGAUCUGCACGCAGCAUCAAAGCCAUGCAGGGAGGACUGCCUUUCCACAGCUUGUGGAUUCAGAAGUGCUGAAUCCAUGUCAGAAGAAAAAGUGUUUAAAGGUGACAUUUGCUUCAAGUUCCAGCUGUUCCUCCGCACGUGGGUGCUUUCCUGGGGGCUGUCACUUCCUCAACCUGUCUUUUUAUUUUUUUGUCUCUGGUGGAUGGUGUUGGAGCGUUCCUUGGCUGCAGCAUGCAAAUCCUACAAAAUCCCUUGAUCCCCCUGUCUAG